CUACGGGGGGCUGCAGUAAGGAAUAUUGCGCAAUGGAGGCAACUCUGACGCAGCCAUGCCGCGUGCAGGACUGAAGGCCUUAUGGGUCGUAAACUGCUUUUAUUUAGGAAUAAACUCUUGUACGUGUACGAGACUGAAGGUACUAAAUGAAUAAGCACCGGCUAACUCCGUGCCAGCAGCUGCGGUAAUACGGAGGGUGCAAGCGUUAUCCGGAUUUAUUGGGUUUAAAGGGUGCGCAGGCGGACUAUUAAGUCAGAGGUGAAAUCCCGGAGCUCAACUUCGGAACUGCCUUUGAUACGGGUAGUCUCGAAUACGGGUGAAGUAGGCGGAAUGUCGCAUGUAGCGGUGAAAUGCAUAGAGAUGCUACAGAACACCGAUCGCGAAGGCAGCUUACUAAGCCGAUAUUGACGCUCAGGCACGAAAGCGUGGGGAGCGAACAGGAUUAGAUACCCCGGUAGUC
RNAcentral lists this ribosomal RNA (460 nucleotides) under uncultured bacterium. Its description in RNAcentral is "partial 16S ribosomal RNA". It matches the Rfam family "Bacterial small subunit ribosomal RNA", at positions 339 to 795 of the family's 1533-position model. The record is from RNAcentral.